This is a non-coding RNA of Electrophorus electricus (electric eel), 440 nucleotides long. The record is from RefSeq and is a predicted model, not a curated record. Lineage: Eukaryota; Metazoa; Chordata; Actinopteri; Gymnotiformes; Gymnotidae.
CUUAUUCUGUGACUUAACGCACUGCGGAUGCACCGGGGACUAAACCCUUCUAUUCUCCGCAGCGUAACGGGGCCACGGAACGAGAGGCGGAGGGGCAUAACGGAGAGAUGUAAGAAGGCCAGAAAGAUGAGGAGAGAUGCAAGAAGAGAAGUUGUUCCUGGGGAAAGGCUGGCGUGUUAAUCGUCAUCAACCGGAAGGCGGGAACCCUCACCGUCGUCGGUGAUUAUUACCGAGAUCAGCGCCCUGGCCGCUAUGGAGCUUAUCGCGUCUUUCCAAAGCGAAGUAACUGCGACACCAAGUGGACUAAAAUCAAACCGUAAUGCCAAAUGGUUUCAGUUAAUGUUUUAUUACAAAUAAUGCAUUCUUUGCGCCAAAACGGGCGCAAGCGCCAAUGAUGUUUUCUAUGUCAAAAUCUAGAAUAAAAAGAUUUUAAAAUUUAA